UACGAAGGGGGCUAGCGUUGUUCGGAAUUACUGGGCGUAGAGCGCACGUAGGCUGAUUGUUAAGUCAGGGGUGAAAUCCCGGAGCUCAACUCCGGAACUGCCUUUGAUACUGGCAAUCUCGAGUCCGGAAGAGGUUAGUGGAACUCUCAGUGUAGGGGUGAAAUUCGUAGAUAUUGAGAAGAACACCAGUGGCGAAGGUGGCUAGCUGGUCCGGUACUGACGCUGAGGUGCGAAAGCGUGGGGAGCAAACAGG
Molecule: ribosomal RNA, 253 nt
Filed under: uncultured bacterium
Lineage: Bacteria
Description: partial 16S ribosomal RNA
Rfam family: Bacterial small subunit ribosomal RNA
Source: RNAcentral